GUAUUUCUUCUAACUGUAAAACUAUAUAUGUGACUAUCUCAACAUACCACUAAAGCAGUUAUUAUACUGAGACCAUCACACCAUAGGGAUAAUCAUUGUUGACAUAUCCUGAGUAGCAAUAAUAAUUCCCCUCAUACCCUUCUCAUUAUACAGAAGAAAAGGGGAAAAUAUAAAAAAAGAAGAAAGAGUAAAAGAGAAAAGUGAAAAAAAGAUGAAGCUUUGCAGGCUCUUGAAAAAUUAUUUAAAUCCUGAUCCUGUUGUAUCCUAAAAGCAUAUUUACUUCUCUAUUCCUUGUUCUAGUUCUUAACUGACCAAAAGUCAUACAUCUCAGAACUUUUACUGUGAAUGCUGUCGAGUACCUAAAGCCACACAUCCCCAGCUGAGGCCCAGUGAGAUUUUCUGUAGCCUUAGACUAGUAUGAGUAGGAUGAGAUCUGGAAACACAUUGAGGUCAACACAGGCAUGUGCGAACACACACACACACACACACAGAGACAGAGACAGAGACAGAGACAGAGAGAGAGGCACCAACUUCUUUUCCAACUUUGAAUCAAAUCAGGGAUAUGUGUUCAUCCCCAGCCAGUUUUCUUUCUAAAGGCAAUGACCAGGCAAGAUUGUGAAGAAUUACACUGAAACCUGAGGAUGAGGAUAAACUUAUCACUUGAAACCAAACUACUCUGGAGAUGGCUGACCUAAUGAACAGCAUGCCCCCCUGAACACCUUGUGGAAGAGUGAGUCUGAGUCCGCCAGCACUAAGUGUCCAUGCCCCUAAGAUUGGGAGAUCCCAAGCUGUAGAGCGGGAAGGACUGCCUGCAGAUCCUGCCACUGCUCAUGAUCACAUCAGAAAUCUCUUAUUGACUCUUGCUGGUUUUAUAAGCCAGAAAUGCAUUUUUAUAAAAACAAACCUAGUAUCCAUACCCUUGAGGAAGAAGCAGUAAGGGUACUAUAUUUCAAUGUUUGGACAAUAUUCAUGAGCCAUAUUUUCUCUAUUCAUUCAUUAGCAAACAUAAUCUCCACGUCUCGGCUAUCAUCAAUAAUCCUUCCAUGACCACAGUUGUGCUAAAAUCUCAAGAAGCUCAACAAAAAGUAUUCUGCCAAGAAACAAUAUGCUUGGAAACAUUCUAACAGCUAAAUGACCGGUCACUGAAGGACAAAUACUGUGUGAUUCCCCCCUAUGAAGUGGGAUGAUGUAUGAAGUAUCUGACAUAUCAAAUAUACAGAACAAGAAAGUAGAGUUGUAGUUGUCUGGUUUGAAGAAAGAAUAAAAUAGUUAUCACCCAGUAGGUAAAAAGUUUCAGGUGUGCAAGACAGAAAAGUUUCAGCAAUAUACUGUAAAACAUAAUGCAGAAAUGCUAUAGUAAUAUACACUUAAAAUUCAGCUGAUGAAGCUGGGCAAUGAUGUUGCAUGCCUUUGAUCUUAGCCCUCAGGAGGAAGAGGCAGUGGCUCUCUGAAUUCGAGGCCAACCUGAUCUACAGAGUGAGUUCCAAGAUAGCCAGAGCCAUGCAGAGAAACCCUGUCUCGAAAAGCAAAAUAAAACAAACAAACAAACAAAAAUUCAACUGAUGAGAUAAAUUUGAUCCUUAGGAUCCACAUGGCAGAAUGUGAAAAUCUAUUCCUGCAAAUUGUCCCCUGAGUCCCACUUGCCUGCCUUGGCAUAGGCAUGUACACACACACACACACACACACACACACACACACACACACACACUAAAUAAACAAGUAGCAAAUAAAAACUGUACUAUAUGUGUUUUCAUAUGUGACAUAAUUAAUGACACUCUUACAAUCUUAUGACGGUCUGCACAAAGGGAAAGGCCUAACUUGUAGGAGCUGCAGCUGAAGGAGAGAAACUGUGUUAGUUAUCCCAUUGCCCGAUCGACAUUCACUAACCCCAGCUCAUCCCGGCAUCUGUAGAUACUACUCAAAAUGCCCUAUGUGCAUUUUUCCAGUGGAAGAAACCUAAUCAAUAAUACUUAACAACAACAAAACAAUACAAGCUGAAAAGCACAUUUUAGGUGAAGUAGUUGCCAAAAUAAGGGGGAAAAUCAGAGGGACAAAAUUAUCCAAAGAAUAUUUGAGGAAUGCUAACUGCGUUUUAAUUAUAGUUCAGUGCACACACAUGUAGAUAAACAACUUCACUCUAAACUACAGAUUUCAUUACAUAAAAAAGGAAUGGACUUUCAUCACCAAAGGCCAAACAGGUAUGUUGGCAGAUCAAUUACUUCAGAGAAUCAAAAAUGAAACACAGAGGGUUGCUAGAAAUUGUGAGAAAAAAUAAGAUAUUUGGAGAAAAAUACUCUAGAAUCAAUGUAGAAAUAAAAUACAUCCUAAGGAGACAAGCAAAGAACAGGUGAGAGAAAACUAAAAUUGAACUGAGAGAAAGUAAUAACACCUUACCUUGAAGUUUGAUAAAUAGUAGUCAUUUUACAGUCUGUAGCAAUAAUAAACAUUAAAGUAAAUUGAGGGAAAAGAUACCACCUAUAGCACUUAUAAACAUUAAAAAAGACCAAAACACUUAGUAAAUAGCAGGAUUAAUGAAGACAGCCAGACAAUUUUAUUAAAAUAAUCAAGUAAUGGCUAAACCAAAUAGGUGGGUACUUAGGUGUGAAGAAGUGGCAUAAAAGUGGUAAUCUCUCCCUACUUAAUAUGCAAAUUUAACAGAAGUAUGGACAGAAUCCCAAUACGACUUUAAAUACGAUUGGAUAGAAUGGUUUGAUUUAUGCAUAUGAUAUUUAUAGGUAGUUGCCAAACAAUGGCCAAUAAAACCAUGAAGUAGAAAAAUGAUGAGAUGCUUACAAACUUAAAAGUGGUACAUUAUAACAGAGGUGUUAUGUACUGAGGCCAGCAGAAAAAGAGACAGCCCAGACUGGACCUCACUAUACAUUCAUACAUACAUGCAAUGUAGAUGCAUGGAUAUUUAGACAAGUACAGAAGGAUCAUUAGAUAAACAUGUAAGCAUAACUCUCCAGAAAUAAAAACAUUCAUCAUCAUUUAAAAUCACAUGCAAAACAGAAAUGAUAUGUAAAUUAUUCACUUACUAAAAACAAAGGACAGAAUCAAUGGGAAAGAACAGGAGAAUCUAGAUAAAAUUAGGCUCCCAUAAUUAAAUAUUUAUACAAACACACAAUCAGAGAUAUACAUACAAAGGGGGUAAACCCUUUCUGAAGCAAACUCUCAAUAAGUCAACAAUAGCAUUAGAAAAAUAUAUUUUCAGAGCCAAUGGUAGAGCAAAGGUUGUCUGUAAUAUCAUAAAUAAAAUAUUAAAAUUAAUCAAAACCAAAGGACUCAAUAGAAAUAUGGUAAAAGUCUGUGAAAUCACAAAUCAUAGACAAAAAAAUUGCUUGAUUUUACCAAUAUUGCUGAAAACACAACAAAAAUCAAUGAAACAUCAUGGUUCCAAAAAUUAAAAACUGGGGCAGUGUCUAUGAAGAGAAGAUCCACCAGCACAUUGAAGGGAAUGUGAGUGUGGGAAUCCAUUUAGAGCAUACUACAACGCCAGCACUUUUCCAGGACAAUCUUUAGCCUGUUCCUUAGCUCAUCGGCACUUACAUACAGGAAUACUGUUGGUUCUAUGUUCAUUCUGACCAAAAAGUAAACACGGUAACAAAAUCCUGUUAGGCAAAUGCCCGUAUGUAGAGACAAAUCUGAAGGGGUGCAAAUCCAGCACAGAGCAGCAGGUCAUUUACCGGUAACAGCAAUGAGUUAGCACUCCAACACAUGAGUGAGCAAACCUGGACACCAUCAUCCACUCACACAGGACACAGAUAAAUAUGCAAACCUCACAUUAGCAAUGUGACUGAUUUCAAAUGCACACGUGAGAAACUAAAAACAGCACAGGUGCAUUUUUGUCUUUAUAGCAUCACAUGAGAUGAAACAUGGAGGGGUUAACUCACUAUCACCAAAUUACUCUGGAUGCAGAAGUGGGCAGAAGUGUUAAAGAUGGAGAGCAGAGAGAGCCACAUACCCAAAAAAAGACAAUUGGGAAUUUCAAAUCCCUACAAAGGUAUGCAAAGUUUCUUAUGGAAACCUAAUUACAUGUGAGUGUAUUUGUGACCGUCAAGAACCAGGCAGUGGGGCUGGAGAGACGACUCAGCAUUUGAGAGCAAUGGCUGCUCAUGCAGAGGACUUGGGCUCAGUUCCCAGAAGAAACAGGGCAGCUAUGCAUCUGUCACUCCAGGUUUAGAGGAUCCAACACCUUCUUCUGGCCUCUGUGGACACCAGGAGUGUUUCUCUGUUAUGCUUAAGAAAUGUCUGAAAGAGAAGGAAUCUGUAAGCUUUGAUUGUAAGUGAUUUGACUGCAUACCCAAGUUCUACCCCAACAAAGAUACAAUGAAUAUAAAAGAAGUAAUGGAGCUUUUGAGAGAAGCAGCUGCCCUGGAAGAGGAAGACUCAAGCUUUUCACCUCCUCAUUCAACACCAUGCUCAAGAGAUACCCCACUGCAUCAGCCACUGGGGCCACUAACAAACACAGGACAAUGUGUCAGGCUGCAGGGUACCAGAGAGGGAGGAUUGUGAGCACCCAACUUCUAUUUCUCAGCCUCAUGUCAAAGCUAUGAAGGGAAAGAAUAACAAGGAAAGGAUAUGGACAUUGUCAGUGCCCCCACCCCGCCCUGCCCCACAGCCUGUUCCCUGGAGAUUCAUGGCAAGCCUGGGAACUGGACAGAAAGAUGCCUUAAAUUCAAAUAGCUGAAAGUGAUGUUGUGUGAUGUAUUUUUAAUAUCAGAAAAUGUCAGUCGUAAUGGCCAAUGUCUGUUUUAAUAUUUUUUCUGGAAAAGCUGAGAGAUUUUCCCCAGAGGCUAGAAGGGGAGUUCCAGUCAUUGGAGGACAGGGGUGAGAGGAAGGGCAAACCUGUUUUGUGGAUGUUCCAGACUCUACGGUGACUUAAGCAAACAGCUUGCCCUGUUUGAUCUAACAUUGUGUACGUUGCUCACCCUUAAAUAUUUUUCAGGGUUCUACUUUAUCAUGACCCCAUUUCUAUAGUUUUUUUUUCAUAAUGUCUCUGAAGAAAUUGGUCUUUUCUUCUCAUGGCUUUUAAGUGCAAGCAGCCAUGCAGCCCUGUAGCCUUGGGUAUGGUCUGUCCCCUCUGAAACAGUGUGGUACUUCGAGACAUUGAUGUGUUGCUUUUAUUUCAUCCCAGAGCUUAGAACAAUCUCUUACUCAAACCAAACCCCUGGCAUUAACUAAGUGAAUUGCUAGAAAAUGAAUUGAUGAGUACAAUCAGACUCCAAGACGAGUCGAUACUUGCUGCAUUCCAGACUUCUGUGGGAUAGAUCUAGAGAGCAACCAUAGAAAGAAGAAUACAUUCCAUGCUUUCCUGGAGUUGACUCUGCCUGAGCUAGUAAUGCAGAAGUACAAGUGUCAUGUCUGUAUGAAGAAUAUGGCUGUUCCUGUCUUAGAAUGUGUCAGGCCUCAGAAUGAGAAUUAAAGACAUAGAAGUGACUCUAACCCUUGUCUAAAGUGUUACAAAUAAAGCUUACAAGUGAGUCUCAGUUCAGGAAA
Molecule: long non-coding RNA, 5496 nt
Organism: Mesocricetus auratus (golden hamster)
Lineage: Eukaryota; Metazoa; Chordata; Mammalia; Rodentia; Cricetidae
Exons: 3
Source: RefSeq, a predicted model, not a curated record